Molecule: ribosomal RNA, 253 nt
Filed under: uncultured bacterium
Lineage: Bacteria
Description: partial 16S ribosomal RNA
Rfam family: Bacterial small subunit ribosomal RNA
Source: RNAcentral
UACAGAGGUCUCAAGCGUUGUUCGGAUUCAUUGGGCGUAAAGGGUGCGUAGGUGGCGCCGUAAGUCAGGUGUGAAAUCUCGGAGCUCAACUCCGAAACUGCACUUGAUACUGCGGUGCUCGAGUACUGGAGAGGAGAUUGGAAUUUACGGUGUAGCAGUGAAAUGCGUAGAUAUCGUAAGGAAGACCAGUGGCGAAGGCGGCCUUCUGGACCAGCACUGACACUCAAGCACGAAAGCGUGGGGAGCAAACAGG